RNAcentral lists this ribosomal RNA (585 nucleotides) under Gambierdiscus australes. RNAcentral's name for it is "partial Eukaryotic small subunit ribosomal RNA". It matches the Rfam family "Eukaryotic small subunit ribosomal RNA", at positions 13 to 578 of the family's 1831-position model. Lineage: Eukaryota; Dinophyceae; Gonyaulacales; Pyrocystaceae. The record is from RNAcentral.
CCUGCCAGUAGUCAUAUGCUUGUCUUAAAGAUUAAGCCAUGCAUGUCUAAGUAUAAACACUUUGUACUUGUGAAACUGCGAAUGGCUCAUUAAAUCAGUUAUAAUUUAUUUGAUGGUCUUUUACUACUUGGAUAACCGUGGUAAAUCUAGAGCUAAUACAUGCACAAAAUCCUGACUGCUUUCGGGUAGGAGGGAUGUAUUUAUUAGAUUCAAAAGCCAAUGCCUUCUCUCGGGGAGGAAAUUUUUAUAAUGGUGAAUCAUGAUAACUUUACGAAUCGCAUGAUCUUGUAUCGGCGAUAGUUCAUUCAAAUAUCUGCCCUAUCAACUUUCGAUGGUAGUAUAGAGGACUACCAUGGUGGUAACGGGUAACGGAGAAUCAGGGUUUGAUUCCGGAGAAGGAGCCUGAGAAACGGCUACUACUUCCAAGGAAGGCAGCAGGCGCGCAAAUUACCCAAUCCCGACACGGGGAGGUAGUGACAAAAAAUAACAAUACCGGUCUUAUACAAGUCUGGUAAUUGGAAUGAGUACAAUCUAAAACCUUUAACGAGUAUCAAUUGGAGGGCAAGUCUGGUGCCAGCAGCCGCG